UACGAAGGGGGCUAGCGUUGCUCGGAAUCACUGGGCGUAAAGGGUGCGUAGGCCGGGGUUUUUAAGUCAGGGGUGAAAUCCUGGAGCUCAACGUCCAGAACUGCCUUUGAUACUGAAGAUCUUGAGUUCGGGAGAGGUGAGUGGAACUGCGAGUGUAGAGGUGAAAUUCGUAGAUAUUCGCAAGAACACCAGUGGCGAAGGCGGCUCACUGGCCCGAUACGUGACGCU
This 228-nucleotide ribosomal RNA is filed under the name uncultured bacterium. RNAcentral's name for it is "partial 16S ribosomal RNA". It matches the Rfam family "Bacterial small subunit ribosomal RNA", at positions 524 to 747 of the family's 1533-position model. The record is from RNAcentral.